Molecule: long non-coding RNA, 457 nt
Organism: Oncorhynchus tshawytscha (Chinook salmon)
Lineage: Eukaryota; Metazoa; Chordata; Actinopteri; Salmoniformes; Salmonidae
Source: Ensembl
UCUGUGUAUGUCUCUGCUCUGAGUAUGUGUAUGUGUCUGUGUCUGUCUCUGUCUCUGAGUCUGUGUCUGUGUCUGUGUCUGUCUCUGCUCUGUGUCUGUGUAUGUCUCUGUCUCUGUCUCUGCUCUGAGUAUGUGUAUGUGUAUGUUCUGUGUCUGUGUCUGUCUCUGCUCUGUGUCUGUGUCUGUCUCUGCUCUGAGUCUGUGUCUGUGUAUGUCUCUGCUCUGAGUCUGUGUCUGUGUAUGUCUCUGCUCUGAGUCUGUGUCUGUGUCUGUCUCUGCUCUGUGUCUGUGUCUGUCUCUGCUCUGAGUCUGCGACUAACUGCUGAUGAUGUCAUCCUCCUAAUAAAAGGGAAAUGUAGAAAGAGGAAGAUAAUACAAGUGUAACAUGGUGGUUGAGGUUGGGAGAUUUUCUGCACCAGUUUAUCUUUAUAGAUGAUUCCUGAGGACAGUGGACUUA